Molecule: ribosomal RNA, 216 nt
Filed under: Glomeromycotina sp.
Lineage: Eukaryota; Fungi; Glomeromycota
Description: partial small subunit ribosomal RNA
Rfam family: Eukaryotic small subunit ribosomal RNA (bases 44-216)
Source: RNAcentral
GGGUCAGUAGGUUGGUCGUGCCACCGGUACGUACUGGUCUCACUGAUUCCUCCUUCCUGAAGAACCGUAAUGCCAUUAAUUUGGUGUUGCGGGGAAACAGGACUGUUACUUUGAAAAAAUUAGAGUGUUUAAAGCAAGCUAACGCUUGAACACAUUAGCAUGGAAUAAUGAAAUAGGACGAUCGAUCCUAUUUUGCUGGUUUCUAGGAUUGACGUA